Bursaphelenchus xylophilus (pine wood nematode) is the source of this 191-nucleotide non-coding RNA. The record is from Rfam. NCBI's taxonomy places the organism in Eukaryota, Metazoa, Nematoda, Chromadorea, Rhabditida, Aphelenchoididae.
AUCGCUUCUCGGCCUUUUGGCUAAGAUCAAAGUGUAGUAUCUGUUCUUAUCGGGUUAAUCUCCGGUACGACUUCUAUUGAAGUCAUUCGAGAUUAACAGAUUUUUGGGACCAGCGGAGUUGUGAAGGCUUGCCUUCCGCUCGGCACGGGUCGGCCCGGUCUUGCACUGCUUCCGGGAACGGCUCAUAUAUU